RNAcentral lists this ribosomal RNA (466 nucleotides) under uncultured bacterium. Its description in RNAcentral is "partial 16S ribosomal RNA". It matches the Rfam family "Bacterial small subunit ribosomal RNA", at positions 28 to 505 of the family's 1533-position model. The record is from RNAcentral.
GACGAACGCUGGCGGCGUGCUUAACACAUGCAAGUCGAACGGAAAGGCCCUGCUUUUGUGGGGUGCUCGAGUGGCGAACGGGUGAGUAACACGUGAGUAACCUGCCCUUGACUUUGGGAUAACUUCAGGAAACUGGGGCUAAUACCGGAUAGGAGCUCCUGCUGCAUGGUGGGGGUUGGAAAGUUUCGGCGGUUGGGGAUGGACUCGCGGCUUAUCAGCUUGUUGGUGGGGUAGUGGCUUACCAAGGCUUUGACGGGUAGCCGGCCUGAGAGGGUGACCGGCCCCAUUGGGAGUGAGCAGCCGCGCGGGGUCCUCCGGGAGGAAGGGGUGGGGAAUACUGCACAAUGGGCGGAGGGCUGAAGCAGUGAGGCGUCUGGCGGGAUGGGGGGCUUCGGGGUGAAAAACCCCUUCGCGUGGGACGAAGGGUGGGGGGUGGUAAUGGGUUAAGAAGCGCCGGCAAACGAGG